GGGCUUGACAUCCCACGAACCUGUAGAGAUGCAGGGUGGCUUCGGCCAACCGAAGACAGGUGGUGCAUGGUUGUCGUCAGCUCGUGUCGUGAGAUGUUGGGUUAAGUCCCGCAACGAGCGCAACCCUUGCCCCGUGUUACUAACAGGUCAAGCUGAGGACUCUCGGGGGACUGCCGGCGUCAAGCUGGAGGAAGGCG
RNAcentral lists this ribosomal RNA (197 nucleotides) under uncultured Methylomirabilota bacterium. RNAcentral describes it as "uncultured candidate division NC10 bacterium partial 16S ribosomal RNA". It matches the Rfam family "Bacterial small subunit ribosomal RNA", at positions 977 to 1175 of the family's 1533-position model. Lineage: Bacteria; Methylomirabilota (SeqCode). The record is from RNAcentral.